RNAcentral lists this ribosomal RNA (555 nucleotides) under uncultured archaeon. Its description in RNAcentral is "bacterial SSU rRNA". It matches the Rfam family "Archaeal small subunit ribosomal RNA", at positions 321 to 879 of the family's 1478-position model. The record is from RNAcentral.
CCCUACGGGGUGCAGCAGCCGCGAAACCUUGUCAGUGCACGCAAGUGUGAACAGGGAACUCCGAGUGCUUAUGCUUUGCAUAGGCUUUUGUUAAGAGUUAAAAUCUUAGCGAAUAAGCGGUGGGUAAGACUGGUGCCAGCAGCCGCGGUAACACCAGCGCCGCAAGUGGGAAUCAUGUAUUUGGCCUAAAGCGUCCGUAGCCUGAUUGGCAAAUUUUCUGUGAAAUUGUAUAGCUCAACUAUACAGCGUGCAGGAAACACUACCAAUCUUGGAACCGGGAGGGGUAUAGAGUAUUCCAGGGGAAGCGGUAAAAUGCUAUAAUCCCCGGAGGACUACCUAUGGCGAAGGCACUAUGCCAGAACGGAUUCGACGGUGAGGGACGAAAGCUAGGGGAGCGAUCCGGAUUAGAUACCCGAGUAGUCCUAGCCGUAAACGCUGCGAGCUAGGUGUUGCAUAUUCUCCGUGAAUAUGCAGUAUCGAAGUGAAGAUGUUAAGCUCGCCGCCUGGGAAGUAUGGUCGCAAGGCUGAAACUUAAAGGAAUUGGCGGGGGAGCAC